UAGUAAAAAAACUUCGAGAUCAAAGUUAUUUGAAAUUAAAUUAUCUUCAAAAUAAUAUAUAAUUUGUUGAAUUUUGACGUGAUUUAUAAAAUUUGUACAUAAAUGAGUUUAAAAUAAUUUUUUGGUACAACCAUUAGGAUUUGGUAAGAACUAAGAUUCAUUUUGGUACAUCCAAUGUUAAAAUGCUUGAACUAGCUGUCGUUGAUCGGAGUAAAGAUUGUUUGGAGGAGUUUAUUGCCGAAAGUGACGCGCAUAUAUCUAAGCUUGUAAGUUUUUUCCAUUGCUGGAAGUUCUUGAUUGCACAAAUACAAAAUUUCCUGAAGUCGGAAUUGAAUCUAUUGGCCGUUCGUGUCCAAAUCUGAAAGUUUUCGUUCGCAAUUAUCUUUUGAUUCAAUCGCAAUAUGAAUUCAAUAAUUCUCUAGCACUUGCCCUGGCGAAAACUAUGCGUGGUUUGCAUAAAUUGAAAAUUGGCGAAGAAGUAACGCUCGACGAUGAUGGUUUGCUUGCCAUUCUUGACGCUUGCUCUCAUCUUGAAUUAUUAAUUGUUCGUAAUUGCCUCCUCCUUAAAUUCGGAAAAAAACUGAAACAAAAUUAAAUUGAAAUAUUAUAGAAGUUCAUGAUUGAAUCAUUUGAUAGCUUUGAUCUCAUUUAAUUAGGUAUUAUUGAAAAUAUUACCUUCAUCCUUAUAUAACCCUAACCUUUCUUCACCAUACUAUCUUUGCAACUUGAAUCUGAUUCUACCUUGUCGUCCAAUUGAUGACGCAUUGAUAAAGUCCGUCAUACAAUAUCCUUUUUUUUGUAGUGCGAUGAUUCAAUCUCAUAUCAUAUCGAGGAUUCUAUAUCUCUGUUUCAGCUUUUUUCCGAAUUUAAGGUGGAGGUAAUUACGAACAAUUAGUAAUUCAAGAUGGGAGCACCAUCAAGAAUGGCAAGCAAACCAUCAUCGUCGAGCACUUCUUCACCAAUUUUCAAUUUAUGCAAACCACGCAUAUUUUUUCGCCAGGACAAGUGCUAGAAAAUUAUUGAAUUCAUAUUACGAGUGAAUCAAAAGAUAAUUACGGAAGCAGAAAACUUUCGAAUUUGGACAUGAACGGCCAAUAGAUUCAAUUCCGACUUCAGUAAAUUUGGUAUUCGAGCAAUCAAAAACUUUCAGGAAUGGAAAAUACUUAAAAGCUUCGAUUAAAAUGCACUCUUGGGCUUCGAUUAAAAUUGCAUCCAAGAUCAAUAACCGAUUCGAGGAUUUAUAUAUCGAUCGAAGAACAAACAGAUUUAAAUAGAGCGGAAUUCAUCAAAUGGGUUAGUUAACACCACAAAAAUAAUUAGCAAAGUUACGAAUUUAAAAUAAAGCGAAGAACUUAAAUAGAAAAUUUGAUAUAUUUAGAUUUUAUAAAGAAAAUAUCAAAUUAGGUUGGAUUUAAAAAAAAGAUUAGUUAAAAUAUCUAAAAUAAUAAACGAUACCGAUAUAAUUAGCAAAAAACUUCAUCAGUUGUUCGAAAUUAAACUAUUUUCAAAAUAAGUUGAAUUUUGAUGUGAUUUUUAAAAUUAAUCCCUGGAUGGAAUGUUAACUGUCGUAAACUACUACUAAAUUUAUUUCACAUAAAAUAUACACACGUGAUGGUGAGUAUCGUAAAUUAAUAACCAAUUCAAUAUAAGAUGAACACGCUCAUAAGUUUAGGUAUCAAUAUCCAAAAAAACAUGCAUGUUUUGUAAUUCAUCUAAAUAAUAAUCUCUACCCUAGAUACCGUUUAACCAAACAAACAAAACAAAAACUCAAUGCACUUCGUCCCUGGAUCGUCGUGCAUCUUUUCAUUGAUUCCAUCCUAUCACACAAUGAACACAAAAUGGGUGAGUCAAUUAUUUCAUCGACUUAGUAUGGGUUCCCUGAUGUCAGACACAUCAUAUAUAAAGAAUCAAAAUCAAUGAAAAUCACAUUAAUUUACACUAUUUAUAUCACAAUCACAGAAUAAUCGUAAUUCACUUUCAAACACUAUUAUCCAUGCAUUCUCACUGGAGUACCACUUCAGUCACUAUUCACAAAAUUUCACUCACUAGUUCACAUGCAGUAAUCACUCACAUAUCAUUCACUCAUUAAUCACAAAAAAAAUGGAUAUAUACAACCCCAACCAAAAAAACUAAGUUGGAACUUACCAACAGAAAUAAAAUAAAAAGGAGUUGAAACCAUUCUCUCAAGAAUUCAUACCAACACAAUUACUCUCAAGACUGAUUAAAUAAAAUUCUGACAAUAGAUAAAAUAAAUCACAGUACGUGUUGAUAAAACAACAAAUCUAAACCGGGAUAAAAUUAAAACUCGAUCGGAAUAUUUGAAAAAUCUGAAACGAAUCAUCAAUCAAUCAGAAAAUAAAUAAAAUAUCUUCGUGUCAAAAUGAACUCAAUGGUUCUAUACCGAUCAUAACAACCUGCUGAAAUAGAAAUCCAGUCAUAAAGCUAAGAAAAAGAAAAUCCAAUUAUGCAUCAACACCAUCAACCCAUCAAAAAACCUGGAAAUCUAGAACUAACAUGAUCAAAGCUGGAAUUAAAUAAAAUAUCUAUAUUUUGAAAUGGACUCAAAUGACUCUAUUACGAUAUAUCAUGACAACCAUAGAAAAACUCGGUCAUGACAGUAAAACAAAACAAACAAACAAAAAACCCAAUCAUCCAUAGUGGAAACCCCAACCCAACCAUCGAAAUCAAACCAUGAAGUGAUAAAAAGAAAUCAGGUUUUUGGAUAACAUUGGAAAUCUCAACAAAAUGAUACGAUCACAUUGGACUACGACGACGCCACCGAUGACAUCGCUGUUGUGCGAAACUCGGAGGAAGACCUAGCCGGACAGAUUGGGGAAGAAGACUUUGGCUCGAGGUCGUUUGAAGACACUGAACCGGGUUCAUCCUACCAAAAGCCGAGCCGAACCAAGAAGACGCCGGCGCGCUUCAAGGACUACGUGAUGGACUCAAUGGGAUGUAGCUAAAUCAGAAUUUGAAGACCUAUUUAAUUUUAAAAUUUUGCAAAAGACUCCUUAAAUAUUAGAGUAUUUUCAAUUCAAUUAAAGUAUAAAUAUGAUACAAUAACAGAAUUAUUAAAAAAAAUUACAAUCAUUUGCUCCUCGAAAUUCCAACCCUAAUUUCAUCCGACUGCCGUCGAGUACACCUGCGCCGUCGCCGCCGUCACAGCAAUCUCGCCGCCCGUCUCCGAUCGAUCUUCAGUCCAGCCUUAUCAGUCCACCCAAGCACCGCCUCACACGAUCGUCGGAUGACCCCUCGUCGGAGUUCCGUCUCCAUUUGUAUCCCAACCUCGCCGUAGUGUGGAAGUUCUUCACUCCACUUCCGUUUCCUUUUUCCUCCCCCCUCUUUUUCCCUUUCUUCUGUUAAAUCUCCUACUCGCUUGGCUGCUACCGGAUUCAAUUGCUCAGUUGAAGGUAGAAAUUGGGUAGAAGUGGAGCAGCGCAGGAUUGGGGCGGAUUCUAGGGUUAUGCGACUUAACUGUCACCUAGAAGCCGUUGGAGGGAGAUUAGAGUAUUUUCAAUUACAAUUUGAAUGUAAUUAACUUAAUUAAUCAAGUCACAAUGAUUUCCUUUUAAACUAAUUACAGCCCUAACUAACUUAACUAUUUGUUAUUACAAAUAUUAGCUAAGUUAAUUGGUCUUUUAAAACUAAUUGCAACCCUAACUAACUUAGCUAAUUAACUAUUUGUUAUUACAAAUAUUUGCUAAGCUAAUUGGUCUUUGGCCCAACUGUUGUAGCCCAUGCGUGAAUUAGUCCAUUAAGUUUAAUUGGAAACUUUGCAACUUGGACCUUAAGUUUCUUGUUUAUUACCGUGUGGGACUUCAUGAAACUUUUGCACUUUCGCCUUAAGUUUCUUCAGUAUCUCACACACUCGUUUGGGUUAUUUCCUAUACAAUGAUGUUCCAUCUGAAAUGUCAAUUAGGUCCUGCAAACAGAGAUUGUGUUUAUACAAGUUAAUUGCUCUUAGUUAACUUGUAUUUCCUUUACUCCCCCCUCAAGCCUUGGAAUAUAUAUUUAAAAUUCCAAGCUUGGAAUGGAAAGUUGUUAUUUCUUUAUCACCAAGUGCUUUUGUUAGAAAAUCAGCAAGUUGGAACUUAGUUCCAAUUUGUUUUAAUGAGAUUUUCUUUUGAUUUAUCAUUUCUCUUAUGAAAUGACAAUCUAUUUCUAUGUGUUUUGUCCUCUCAUGGAAUACUGGAUUAUUCGCUAAAUGUAUAGCUGAUUUGUUAUCACAGUAAAGAUCUGUGGGUAUUGGUAUUUUGAUUUUUAGUUCAUUCAUCAAUUGGUGAAUCCAUACAAUUUCACAAGUCACUUGAGCUAUAGCUCUAUAUUCUGCCUCACAUGAUGAUCUGGCUAUUGUGUUCUGUUUUUUUGUUUUCCAAGAGAUUAAUGAAUCUCCUAGCAUGAUACAGAAUCCUGUCAAGGAUUUUCUGCUAAUUUGGCAUGCUGCCCAAUCCGCAUCACAAUACCCUCUAAUCACCAUGUUUGCAUUUCUACUGUAUAAUAAUCCUUGUCCUAGAGCAUUUUUGAUAUAUCUUAUUAGUUUAAACAGGACUUCUAGAUGAACCUCUCUUGGCUCAUGCAUAAAUUGACUCAGCCAGUUUACUGAGAAACUUAUAUCUGGCCUUGUUAUGUUGAGGUAUAUUAAUUUUCCAACCAUCUUCCUAUAGAAGGUUGGGUUUUUAAUUAACAUAGAUUUAUCAUUUUUUAAAUCUAUGUGUCUUUCCAUUGGAAUUUUGGAAGGUUUUGCACCAGAAAGACCAGAUUCUUCUAAAAUUCCUAAUGCAUAUUUCCUCUGGGAUAAAUAUAUUCCUUGAGGUGAAUAGGAUACCUCAAUCCCUAGGAAGUAACUUAACCUUCCUAGAUCUUUUAAUUUGAACUGAUUUUCCAAUUGGACUUUUAUUAUCCCAAUUUCUAAUUCAUUGCUGCCUGUUAGGAUGAUAUCAUCCACAUAUACAAUGAGGUAUAGGAUGUUUUGAUUUCUUUCUCUUAUGAAUAAAGAAUAAUCAGAUUUUGUUUGAAGAAAACCAAUGUCUAAAAGAACUCCUCUUAGUUUCUCAAACCAGCUUCUUGAAGCUUGUUUGAGAUCAUAUAGAGAUUUAUUUAGUUUACAUACUCUUUUAUCUUUUUCUUCAAGCAUACCUUGUGGAGGUUUUAAAUAUACCUCUUCAUGUAAAUCACCAUGCAAAAAUGCAUUGUUUACAUCUAAUUGGUGUAGAUUCCAUCUUUUGAUGGCAGCUACUGCUAUUAUAGUUUUUAUAGUGACCAUCUUUACUACUGGUGCAAAGGUUUCAAAAAAAUCAAAACCCUCUUUCUGUGUGAAACCUUUAGCUACUAACCUUGCUUUAUACCUUUCUAUUUGGCCAUCUGGUUUAUAUUUAAUUUUAUAGAUCCAUUUUGAUCCAAUAGAUUUUCUGUUUUGUGGAAGAUUAGUAAGAGUCCAUGUAUUGUUCUCUUGUAAAGCCUUCAUUUCAUUUUGCAUAGCUUCAAUCCAUUUUGGAUCUUUUGAAGCUUCAUUGUAUGAAUUUGGUUCAUCAUUAAUUGUUAUUUGUUUUAAAUAUUGUUUGUGAUGUUUAUUUAUCCUAUUAUAUGAGACAUGAUUGCUCAUAGGAUAUUUUGAUUUAUCACAUUUCUUCUUGUUUUGUAGAACAAAUUCUUGGAAAUGUUUUGGUUUUACAAUUUUCCUUCCAUACAAACUUGUUUUUUUAUUUGUUGUUUUUAAGUUUUUAUUUUCAGAGUUUAUUGUACUCUGGUCUUGUUCUGAAUUUUUUUUAAAAUUGCUAUCUGAACUGGUCAGAAUGAUUUGUCCAAAGUUGUUCUCUAGCUCUGGGUUUUGAUGUUUUUCUUCUGAGAUUUGCCUUAAGUCAUUUUCUAUAUGAUUUUGUUGGCUAUUUAGCCUAUUUUGUCCAGAGCUAAUUUGUUCCUUUUCUGUAUUUUGAAUUAGAUUCUCUGGCCUUCUUAAAUCCUGUUGAUUUGUUUGCUCUGGGAUAUUCUCUGAAUAAUCUUGCUGAUUAUUCAGAGUGUUUUGUUCAAGGGCUUCUCCUUGUUCUGAAUUUUUACUUCUAUUCUUAGCAGAAUAAUUUUCAGAAAAUUUUCUUGUUACCCCAGGGCAUAGUUCUGAAAGACUUUGUUUAUUGUUUUGAGUUUUAUAUCCAGAGUUUUCUUUUUGCUCUGGGUUUUGUAUUUCUAAUACAUUUUCAUUUGUUCCUGUUUUUUUUUUAAAAACUUCUUCAGUUUGAAUAAUUUUAUUUGGGGUAUUUUUUCCAACAGAGUUAUAUAUGUUCUCUUCAUUAAACUGAUCAUAUUCAUAUGUGUCCAAUGAAUUACUAUUUCUUUUUUCUUGUUCACUGUUAUUUUCACAAUUGGAUGAUCUUCCAAUCUGUGAUGUUUUAUUAUUACCAAAUUCUGUAUUUUCAGAAUAUGGUUUUAUUGUUUCAUUGUGGCCAUCAUGUAUAAUUUGACUAUAAAAGUUUUGUAAUGGUCUUUUGUCUAUAUUUUGAAUAUUUUUAGGUAUAUCUUUAAAUGGAAAGAUGUUUUCCCUAAAGACAACAUUUCUUGAAAUGUGAAAUUUCAUUUUUUCUAUUUCUAAGACUAAAAAACCUUUUUUAUUUGAUGGGUAUCCCAUAAAAAUACCUUUGAAGGUCCUUGGUGAGAACUUAUGUUCUCUAAUGUUUGUGGUUGCAAAGCAUAGACAGCCAAAGGUUUUAAAAUUUUCAUAGUUUGGAGUUUUUUUAUGUAGAACUUCAAAGGGUGUUUUGUUUUUUAAUACCUUUGAAGGUAUCCUGUUUAUUAUAUGUGCUGCAGUUAGUAUACAUUCUCCCCAAUAUUCUAUUGGGGCUGCACUUUGAAAAUGUAAUGCCCUUGCCACCUCUAAUAAAUGCCUAUGUUUUCUUUCAACUAUGGCAUUUUGUUGAGGUGUAUAUGGGCAUGAAUAUUGGUGAAUUAUCCCAUAAUUUUCAAGUAAUGACUUGAAUUUAUUUGAGUUAAAUUCCCCUCCAUUAUCACUUCUUAUUAUUUUUAUAUUUUUGUCAAAAAUAUUUUUGAUUUUUAAUAUGAAAUUUCUAACAUAUUCUAAAACCAUGCUUUUGUUUUUGAUCAAGAAAAUCCAAGUUGUUCUACUUAGAUCUUCAACAAUGGUUAGAAAUGAGGAAUAUCCAUCAUGUGUGUUUGUUUGGAAUUUCCUCCAAACAUCCAUAUGAAUUAGAUCAAAUAGAUCCUUUGAUUUUGAUAAACUAUUUUUAUAUUUUAGUUUAUUUUGUUUUGCAAGUGGGCAGAUAUUGCAAUUUUCUUUUAUCAAAUCAAAAUUUUUAUUUAUUGCUGAAAAACUUCUAUUUUGAGGAACAAUAUCAUGUUUGUCUAUUUUAUUACAAUCAAAACUAUUUAUGGAUUUACAAAAAAUAGAUUUGCAUUUUAUUCUAUUGGCUUCAACAAGAAUUUUCAUCUUUUCUGAUGAAGGGUGUCCAAGCCUCUUGUGCCAAAUUUCGAAAUCCAUGGCUGUAUAAGCAUAUUAAGAGGAUUGAGACUCUAAAAAAUAAAGUCCUUUUUUGCACCUACCCUGCCCAAUUACUCUCUCGGAUUUUUUUUCCUGAAAAUGGCAUUUGAAUUUGUCAAAAAUGACCUUUAAAUUUGAAUCAUGAGUUAAUUUAUUUACUGAUAUUAAAUUAACCUUGAAUUGAGGUAUAUAUAAGACAUUCUUAAGUAUAAUGUCUUUGGAUAUUGUUAUAUCUCCAAUAGAAGUUACUUUGCAUACCUCCCCACUUGGAAUGGUGACAAAGUGCUCAUAAUCUUCUAUUGGGUUUUUAUCAAAAUUUUGGAAACUCCCAGUCAUGUGUUGGGAGGCUCCAGUGUCUAUGAUCCAAGAUUUUUCAUAAUUUGAAAUAUUAAAAGAAAAAUCCAUACCUGAGGAUUUGUUCAAAAAAUCCUUUAUCAUUAGAAGCUCUUCACUGGUCAGUCCUUGAUUCACAGAUGAAGUUGUGGCCUGAUUUGCAUUUUCAGUAGAAUUCUUCUUUUCUUUUCUGUUUUUCUUUUUGUCAUUUGGAAAACCUAUUAGGUGGUAGCACUCCUCUCUAGUGUGACCAAAGAACUUGCAGUUGUCACAGUAAAACCUACUGCCCAACUUCUUUCCAUUUUUUCCAUACAUUUUUUUCUUUGGUUCCUCUUUUUUAUCUUCUUUUUCAGAUUUUUUAGCAAAAAGAGCAGUUGAGUUUCCACCAAAUGAUUCCCUAGAGUUGUUUUUGUGCUUCUCUUCUUGUGUUACUAAACAAAAAACCUGAUUCAUAGAAGGAAGCUCGGGGUAUGCAAGUAUUUGACUCCUUAGAGUCCUAAAAUCAUCAUUUAAACUUAAUAAGAAAUGAUAAAUUUUUUCUUUCUCCAAUUUCUUGUUAUAAAUUGGAGUACAGUUUGUACAAAAAUUACAAUCUGGCUUCUCUAUUUCUAUGAACUGAUCCCAUAAAGAAUUAAAUUUGUCAAAGAAAAUAGCAACAGAAUCAUUAGAUUGGGUUAGGGUGUUUAUCUCAUACCUCAAUUGAUUUGUUUUGGGGGCAUUUUUCUGCUUGUAUCUCUCUUGAAGAUCUGGCCAUGCUUCAUAAGCAUUCUCUGUAUGUAUGAGAGUUGAUCCUAUCUGAGGACUUACACUAUUAAUGAUCCAGGAUAGUACCAGUCCAUUGACCAUCUCCCAGUCUUCAUAAUCCUCCCCUGUUUCACAUACCGGCCUCUUAAUUUUUCCAUUGAUAAAACUAGUUUUUUUUCUGGAAACCAAUGCCAAUUUCAUUGAGUUUGCCCAGGCUACGUAGUUCUCUUCCCCAGUGAGUUUAUCUGCCACCAUAUGGGCACCUGGGUGAUCUCCAGAGGUGAGAUAGUAAGGUGAUUUUCUUGAGUACUUCUUACUGUCUUCAUCCUUUCGUUUGGAAAUCGAUUUUUUAUCCUUUGAUUUUUUAAAAGACCUGGAAUCAUGUUUAGAACUGUUAUCAGAAGAUACAUUGUUACCUUGUUUGGUCGAACUCCCUUGACUGGAAUCUUCAUCAGUCAGAUGUCCUUUAUUUGAAGAAGUUGGUGGGUUCUUUGCGUCGUCGCUGAAAUGUGAUACCAUGUUAAAUCUCCUACUCGCUUGGCUGCUACCGGAUUCAAUUGCUCAGGUGAAGGUAGAAAUUGAGUAGAAGUGGAGCAGCGCAAGAUUGGGGUGGAUUCUAGGGUUAUGCGACUUAACUGUCGCCUAGAAGCCGUUGGAGGGAGAUUAGAAUAGUAGUUUCAAUUAAUCACAAUUUGAAUGUAAUUAACUUAAUUAAUUCCAGUCACAAUGGUUUCCUUUUAAACUAAUUACAACCCUAACUAACUUAACUAAUUAACUAUUUGUUAUUACAAAUAUUAGCUAAGUUAAUUGGUCUUUUAAAAACUAAUUACAACCCUAACUAACUUAGCUAAUUAACUAUUUGUUAUUACAAAUAUUUGCUAAGCUAAUUGGUCUUUGGCCCAACUGUUNNNNNNNNNNNNNNNNNNNNNNNNNNNNNNNNNNNNNNNNNNNNNNNNNNNNNNNNNNNNNNNNNNNNNNNNNNNNNNNNNNNNNNNNNNNNNNNNNNNNUAAAAGCUUCGAUUAAAAUGCACUCUUGGGCUUCGAUUAAAAUUGCAUCCAAGAUCAAUAACCGAUUCGAGGAUUUAUAUAUCGAUCGAAGAACAAACAGAUUUAAAUAGAGCGGAAUUCAUCAAAUGGGUUAGUUAACACCACAAAAAUAAUUAGCAAAGUUACGAAUUUAAAAUAAAGCGAAGAACUUAAAUAGAAAAUUUGAUAUAUUUAGAUUUUAUAAAGAAAAUAUCAAAUUAGGUUGGAUUUAAAAAAAAGAUUAGUUAAAAUAUCUAAAAUAAUAAACGAUACCGAUAUAAUUAGCAAAAAACUUCAUCAGUUGUUCGAAAUUAAACUAUUUUCAAAAUAAGUUGAAUUUUGAUGUGAUUUUUAAAAUUAAUCCCUGGAUGGAAUGUUAACUGUCGUAAACUACUACUAAAUUUAUUUCACAUAAAAUAUACACACGUGAUGGUGAGUAUCGUAAAUUAAUAACCAAUUCAAUAUAAGAUGAACACGCUCAUAAGUUUAGGUAUCAAUAUCCAAAAAAACAUGCAUGUUUUUGUAAUCCAUCUAAACAAUAAUCUCUACCCUAGAUACCGCUUAUCCAAACAAACAAAACAAUCAAAACAAAAACUCAAUGCACUUCGUCCCUGGACCGUCGUGCAUCUUUUCAUUGAUUCCAUCCUAUCACACAAUGAACACAAAAUGGGUGAGUCAAUUAUUUCAUCGACUUAGUAUGGGUUCCCUGAUGUCAGACACAUCACAUAUAAAGAAUCAAAAUCAAUGAAAUUAAUGAAAAUUACAUUAAUUUACACUAUUUAUAUCACAAUCACGCAAUAAUCGUAAUUCACUUUCAAACACUAUUAUCCAUGCAUUCUCAAUCGAGUACCACUUCACUCACAUAUCAUUCACUCAUCAAUCACAUGACCACAAAAAAAAUGGAUAUAUACAACCCCAACUAAAAAAACUAAGUUGGAACUUACCAACAGAAAGAAAAUAAAAAGGAGUUGAAACCAUUCUCUCAAGAAUUCAUACAAACACAAUUACUCUCAAGACUGAUUAAAUAAAAUCUGAAAAUAGAUCAAAUAAAUCACAGUACGUGUUAUAAAACAACAAAUCUAAACCGGGAUAAAAUUAAAACUCGAUCGGAAUAUUAUUUGAAAAAUCUGAAACGAAUCAUCAAUCAAUAAGAAAAUAAAUAAAAUAUCUUCGUGUCAAAAUGAACUCAAUGAUUCUAUACCGAUCAUAACAACCUGCUGAAAUAGAAAUCCAGUCAUAAAGCUAAGAAAAAGAAAAUCCAAUUAUGCAUCAACACCAUCAACCCAUCAAAGAAUCUGGAAAUCUAGAACGAUCAAAGCUGAAAUUAAAUAAAAUAUCUAUAUUUUGAAAUGGACUCAAAUGACUCUAUUAUGAUAUAUCAUGACAACCAUAGAAAAACUCAGUCAUGACAGUAAAACAAAAGAAACAAAAAACCCAAUCAUCCAUAGUGGAAAUCCCCACCCAACCAUCGAAAUCAAACCAUGAGAUGACAAAAAAGAAAUCAGGUUUUGGAUAACAUCGGAAAUCUCAACAAAAUGAUACGAUCACAUUGGACUACGACAACGCCACCGAUGACAUCGCUGUUGUGCGGAACUCGGAGGAAGACCUAGCCGGACAGAUUGGGGAAGAAGACGUUGGCUCGAGGUCGUUUGAAGACACUGAACCGGAUUCAUCCUACCACAAGCCGAGCCGAACCAAGAAGACGCCGGCGCGCUUCAAGGACUACGUGAUGGACUCAAUGGGAUGUGGCUAAAUCAGAAUUUGAAGACCUAUUUAAUUUUAAAAUUUUGCAAAAGACUCCUUAAGUAUUAGAGUAUUUUCAAUUCAAUUAAAGUAUAAAUGUGAUACAAUAACAGAAUUAUUAAGAAAUUUUACAAUCAUUUGCUCCUCGAAAUUCCAACCCUAAUUUCAUCUGACUGCCGUCGAGUACACCUGCGCCGUCGCCGCCGUCACAGCCAUCUCGCCGCCCGUCUCCGAUCGAUCUUCAGUCCAGUCUUAUCGAGCCCCCAACUGGUUUGCUUAACCGCAUUGACCACCUUGGGCUAAGUCUUGAUUUCAGGGAUAUAUUCCCGUUACUUGAGUCUUGGAUAUCCUUGAUCUUUGGAUCUUGGAUCUAAGACAGGAAUCUACUCCAGGUCUAUCUAAUCUUAAUCUCGAUUCUCUUAGAAUCGUAUCACAAAACCAAAGAGAUUAAAUCAGUCCAGCACAUUCCAAAAAAACAAGUGUCAUACUAUGAAAAUCAUACCCAAACAAUCGACAUCACACACAACAAAAUUAUUUAUAACUGACCAUCGCCAUCAUCUUCUUAACUCCAUACUAAAUCACGAAAUUUCUAACAGUACUUAACCCAAGCCAGCAUUGCAGGUGCUAAAUCACUCCCUCACACUCCAAAGACACUUGAAUUUAUCACUUAAACUAAAUGAAAUAUCAGAGAUUUACUUAGCUGAUUCUGUUCUACCAGUUUUACAAAUACACCCAUACCUUCCCUUGCCUUUGAGACCUCUCUAUACACAAGCCACACCAAGAUUUCCACCCACCCAAGCACCGCCUCACACGAUCGUCGGAUGACCCCUCGUCGGAGUUCCGUCUCCGUUUGUAUCCCAACCUCGCCGUAGUGUGGAAGUUCUUCACUCCACUUCCGUUUCCUUUUUCCUCCCCCCUCUUUUUCCCUUUCUUCAACCCUUAUAUCCUAGGGUUUAUCUAUUUCUAUUACCACAUUACUAAACUACCCUUAGUUAAAUUGGCCAAACCCAAUGUAAUUGGCCAACUAAGGUAUUCUAAAAUUUAUUUAUUUUUUUGAGUUAUUACAUUCUCCCCUCCUUAAUGAAAUUUCGUCUCGAAAUUUCUCAUCAUAUACCUAUAUGACUAUAUCUAUUAUCAUUUUUUUCCUUCCCUCUCCCCUCCUUCAUGAAAUUUCGAAAUGAGUUUAGAUCGAUUUUCGAAAGAAUACGGUGAAGGGUUAACAACUUUCACUAAUUUCGCCACUUCGAAUUCGACUCACCCAGAAGGUUAUUUACCUUGUCCAUGCUCGUCCUGCACGAAUAGUAAUUAAAGUAAUUCCUAUAAAAGAGAUGAGGAAGCAUGUUUUCAUAAAUGGUAAGUUGAAACAUUACGAUGUUUGAACGAAUCACGGAGAGUUACCGAGUAGAAAUGGUGAGAGAAAAGAGACAGUGCCGGAAACUGAUAACGAUAUAAUUGGAUUGGUUCGUGCGGUUUACGGAGAACAUGUAGUUGAAAAUACAGUCGACGAAAAAUUUCUCGAAAUAGAACCUCUAGAAUACGAGCCUGUUCAUGAAAAUCAGUCGAUGUAGAUCCAGUCGAUGAAGAUCAAGUCGACGAAGAUCCAGAGCACAGAUAUGACGAUUCGUUCUUACGCCGUCUAAAAGAAGGUGAAGAACAGUUAUAUCCAGGUUGCACAGAGUUUUCCAAACUAUCUUUUAUCUUGGAAUUGUAUCAGUAGAAAUGCGACAAUCAUUGGAGUGAUAAAAGUUUUCAGAAAUUAUUAUCCAUCAUGCGUCGUGCUAUUCCAAAUGGGGAAUCGACCAUUCUGAAAACCAUGUACCAUGCGAAAUCGGUGGUUCGUGACCUGGGCCUCAAUUAUACGAAAAUCGAUGCAUAUAUGUCACAACGAUUGUAUUUUAUAUCGAAAUGAGUAUGCAGACGCAGAAACUUGCCCGAAUUGCGGAACGUGUAGGUGGGUCGUCGAAGGCGUUCAGAAAAACAAACGUGUCCCAACGAAAUGCCUUCGUCACUUUCCGUUGAUUCCACGUUUGAAGAGAUUGUAUCUGUGUUCCAAAAUUUCUGAAGAUAUGAUAUGACACCAUUCCAAACGUAAAGACGACGGAUUUCUUCAGCAUCCAGCUGAUUCUUUACAAUGGAAGAAAUUUGACGAAGUUCAUCCCAAAUUUGUAUCCGAACCUCGUAAUGUGAGACUUGGUUUAGCAACAGAUGGAUUCAACCCGUUCAGUCAGCAAUCUCUAUCUCAUAGUACUUGGCCAGUGAUAGUUAUACCGUACAACCUUCCACCUUGGAUGUAUAUGAAGCAACCGAAUUUCAUGUUGUCACUACUAAUUUCCGGUCUGUCAGCUCCAGGGAACGAUAUAGAUGUCUGUCUUCAACCUCUUAUUGAUGAACUGAAGAUUUUAUGGGCAGAUGGUGUUACAGCUUUUGAUGUACAUACACCGAAAUCUUUUAAGAUGUUUGCAUCACUUCUGUGGACGAUACAUGAUUAUCCAGGAUACGGUGAUAUAUCAGGGUGAAGCACUAAAGGAAAGUUAGCCUAUGCAGUAUGUAAGAAUGACACUGAAAGUAUUCGUUUAGAGCAUGGAAAGAAAGAGAAUUUUAUGGGACAUCGUCGAUUUCUAGAUAUGAAACAUUAUAGGAGCGAUAAGAAAAGUUUCAAUAAUCAGAUCGAAACUAGAGUCGCCCCUAAACGUCUAACGGGUUCUGAAAUAUAUAGUCAAGUUUAUCCAUUUCGAGAUUCAGUAACUUUUGGUAAAACAUCGAAUGUACCAAAAGAUUGUAGACCGUCAACGAAAAGAACGAAGAAAAUACCAUUGCCCAUAGGGUGAAAAAAAAUGAGUAUUUUUUCGAAUUACUGUAUUGGAAGACGUUGCUUCUACGAAAUAAUAUUGAUGUUAUGCACACCGAAAAGAAUGUAUGUGACAAUAUUUUGAACACUAUUUUGGAAAUGGAUGGUAAAACGAAAGAUAAUUUGAACGCGAGGUUCGAUUUACAAUCGAUGGGAAUCCGAAAAGAACUUCAUCCUAUUCGACGGGGAGAAGAAUGGGACAUUCCGAGUGCGUGUUUCAACUUAACGACGACAGAAAAGAUAUUAUUUCUGUCAGUGUUUAAAUCCCUUCGACUUUCUGAUGGAUAUUGUUCUAACAUUUUUAGAAACGUGAAAAUGAAAGAAAGAAAAUUUAUCGGAUUGAAAAGUCACGAUUGUCACGUUAUAAUACAACAGUUACUUCCUAUUGCAUUACGAAAAUCGACAAAACCUGUAGUGACUUCGGUUCUCGUUGAACUUUGCGGAUAUUUCCACGAUAUUUGUUCGAAGGUGAUCGAAAUCAAACUUAUGAAACGAUGGGAGAAAAGAAUUAUAUAUACAUUAUGCAAUCUUGAGAAAAUCUUUCCUCCCGGUUUUUUUACUGUAAUGGUUCAUCUGACGGUCCAUCUAACAACCGAAGUAAAAAUAGCUGGACCGGUACAAUAUCGAUGGAUGUAUCCGAUAGAGAGGUAUAUAUAUUUAUACAAUUAUAAAUACAUUUAUAAUUAAUAUGUCUUGAUCAUACAAUAUAUAUUCUUAUUUUAGGUAUCUUUUGACUUUAAAAAAUCAUGUGACCGUACGUAGUCACCCGGAAGGACCUAUUGCGGAAAGUUAUCUUGCUGAAGAAUCAAUAACGUUUUGUUCUCGAUCGGUUUUUACAAAAUGUCGAGACAAAAUCAAAUCGGCCAGAUAGGUAUAUCGAUGAGUUUUUAAAUGCACCGAACCAAGCGACGGAUGAAAUGGCGAAGAAAUUAACCACAAGAAUGGCUCUUUUAGCAAAAGACCAUACUCUCUUCCCGUACGACAUUGAGUGGCGUCAUCAACCACAACAAAAUUUUCAGGACGCGUUAAAAAUAUUAACUGUAAGUAUAUAUAUUUUUUACAAUAUUUAUUAAUUUUCCAAAACUUAUAAGUUUUGAAUAUUGAUGAAGCACUGAAUCUGCUACCAAGGCUCGCGAUGGUGCGAGGUGAUGCCGGAGGCUCUGGAGUCCACGACGCGCGCUCUACGUCAAAUACCUGCAAGUAGAAACUUGGCGAGUUUCUUAGUGAGAAUCGGCGAGUUUCUUAGUGAUGCUCUGGUGAGAGUGGAACUUGUGUUGUGCCUUUGAGUGUCCCCUUGGGACCCUUUUUAUAGGGUCUCAGAGGGCGUGAUCAAAGGCGAACAUCGCGCCUAUGGCCAUAUAUGGAAACAUUUAUGACGUUGGCUGGUGGCGAGUAACGGUCGUAAGUCGGCGAUUCAGGUAUGGAAAUCGCCUAUUUAGGGCAAAUUCGUCGAGUUUCCUGGGACGAGAUGUGCAAUCUACCAUACUGCCGAUCUGGGCCCUAACUCGACGAUUUGUCUCUAAAGUCGGCGACUUGGUAGUCCAAUCGCGACUUACGGGUUAACUCGGCGAUUUGGACGAUGAACUUGUUCCGCACCGUGGGAGCUCUCCGGGGGUCCGGCGUAAAGAGACGAAACCCUAGUCCUUAUUGAAAGGCGUUGCUGGGAGUGACUGUCGUAAUCAGACAUGUCUCACCAGGUGCCAAAUAUGACCUUUUUCUCCUCUGGUACAUCCAGCAUUUCAAAGCUGGUUUCAACUGUAUCUACCCAAUUAUCCACUUCAUCGAGUGAUUCAGUCCCCAUGAAUAUCGGAGGGUUGGUUUUGUUGAAUUCCGCAAACGUCACAACUUUCGUCGGUGGUGUUGCAUGCCAUCCGCCUACCAUCUGUCCAAAGUAACAACCAUAUUAUUAGAAUUUAAAUAUUCCUUAUAUAAUCGAUCCUAUCAUCUAAAAAUUACAACAAAAGAAUUGAUUCGGUUAUUAAACGGACCGAACGCAGACCCAAGCUAGAGUAGGCUCGUUUAUUUAAAUAAACCGAACCAAAUACUUAGGUAUUCAGUUCGGUAGGCUCGAGUUAUAACGCUACUCUUAGGUAAGCCUAAAACGCAUAUGAAAUCAUGACUGUCCAUUCAUUUCUUCUGAAUUUUCCCCCCUCCAUGUGUGUACUAUUUUUUUUAAAUGUGAUUCUAAGAUUUCAUGUGCGUUUUUGAACUCAUUAAAGAUAUGCUUAAAGUUUCUUCUAUAUAUUUAUGAAAAGGUUGUUUAAAAAAUUUAAAAUAAUAAAUGAUAACUAUAUAAAUUAGUAAAAAACUUCGAAAGCAAAGUUAUUUGAAAUUAAAUUAUCUUCAAAAUAAUAUAUAAUUCGUCGAAUUUUGACGUGAUUUAUAAAAUUUGUACAUAAAUGAGUUUAAAAUAAAUUUUUGGUACAACCAUUAGGAUUUGGUAAGAACUAAGAUUCAUUUUGGUACAUCCAAUGUUAAAAUGCUUGAACUAGCUGUCGUUGAUCGGAGUAAAGAUUGUUUGGAGGAGUUUAUUGCCGAAAGUGACGCGCAUAUAUCUAAGCUUGUAAGUUUUUUCCAUUGCUGGAAGUUCUUGAUUGCACAAAUACAAAAUUUCCUGAAGUCGGAAUUGAAUCUAUUGGCCGUUCAUGUCCAAAUCUGAAAGUUUUCGUUCGCAAUUAUCUUUUGAUUCAAUCGCAAUAUGAAUUCAAUAAUUCUCUAGCACUUGCCCUGGCGAAAACUAUGCGUGGUUUGCAUAAAUUGAAAAUUGGCGAAGAAGUAACGCUCGACGAUGAUGGUUUGCUUGCCAUUCUUGACGCUUGCUCUCAUCUUGAAUUAUUAAUUGUUCGUAAUUGCCUCCUCCUUAAAUUCGGAAAAAAACUGAAACAAAAUUAAAUUGAAAUAUUAUAGAAGUUCAUGAUUGAAUCAUUUGAUAGCUUUGAUCUCAUUUAAUUAGGUAUUAUUGAAAAUAUUACCUUCAUCCUUAUAUAACCCUAACCUUUCUUCACCAUACUAUCUUUGCAACUUGAAUCUGAUUCUACCUUGUCGUCCAAUUGAUGACGC
Molecule: long non-coding RNA, 17240 nt
Filed under: Zostera marina
Lineage: Eukaryota; Viridiplantae; Streptophyta; Magnoliopsida; Alismatales; Zosteraceae
Description: long non-coding RNA (ZMAR_LNC005242)
Source: RNAcentral